Molecule: ribosomal RNA, 327 nt
Filed under: Triticum aestivum (bread wheat)
Lineage: Eukaryota; Viridiplantae; Streptophyta; Magnoliopsida; Poales; Poaceae
Description: partial small subunit ribosomal RNA
Source: RNAcentral
AUGCUUCUUGCUAGAUACAUCAGCACCGUCGUCCUUUUCUUUGUCUCUCUUCUCAUAUUCAACCUUCUGCUUCUCAGCAAGCUGCUCCACUUGCCGACAAUCUUGAAGGUCAUGGCUUUUGGUGCGGUGGAUCUUGGAGUACUGCUUGGCGAAGCCCCCGACCAAAUCAGCGGCCACCAAGGCUUGGCACGAGGCGCACCCAGCAACCUCCUUGCUGCGGCUCUCAACCUUAGCCUUCUUGGCGGGGUCACUAUUGCUAGACUCCUCCACGGCAAGAACAACUUUGCCCUUGCGCUUCCUAUUGCACUUGCGGGUUUUCUUCUUUGA